RNAcentral lists this ribosomal RNA (496 nucleotides) under uncultured bacterium. RNAcentral's name for it is "partial 16S ribosomal RNA". It matches the Rfam family "Bacterial small subunit ribosomal RNA", at positions 28 to 507 of the family's 1533-position model. The record is from RNAcentral.
GAUGAACGCUGGCGGCGUGCCUAAUACAUGCAAGUCGAGCGAACAGAUGAGGAGCUUGCUCCUCUGACGUUAGCGGCGGACGGGUGAGUAACACGUGGAUAACCUACCUAUAAGACUGGGAUAACUUCGGGAAACCGGAGCUAAUACCGGAUAAUAUAUUGAACCGCAUGGUUCAAUAGUGAAAGACGGUUUUGCUGUCACUUAUAGAUGGAUCCGCGCCGCAUUAGCUAGUUGGUAAGGUAACGGCUUACCAAGGCAACGAUGCGUAGCCGACCUGAGAGGGUGAUCGGCCACCCUGGACAGGAGACGCGGCCCAACCCCCGAGGGGAGGGACCGGUAGGAAAUCUUCCGCAAGGGGCGAAGGCCUAGCGGGGCAACGCCGCGUGAGGUAUAAAGUUCUUCGGAUCGUAAAACUUUGUUUUUGGGGAAGAACAAAGUUUUAAGUAACUAUGCCAGUUUUAACGGUACCUAAUAAGAAGGCCCGGCCAAACUCGGG